RNAcentral lists this long non-coding RNA (251 nucleotides) under Elaeis guineensis (African oil palm). Its description in RNAcentral is "long non-coding RNA (EGUI_LNC034784)". Lineage: Eukaryota; Viridiplantae; Streptophyta; Magnoliopsida; Arecales; Arecaceae. The record is from RNAcentral.
GUCUCUCUUACAUAUUUUAUAUGAGGGUUGAGUAAGUUUGACGGAUAGUUGAUUUAGAAUUUUGAGAUACUUUUGAGUAAGGUUUGCAAACUCCGUAUCGAAACUCGUGCCGAUCAGUCAACGGUAUGGGUCCACAUUAGACCAAACUGGCAUGAAUCGACACAAGCGAAGAAAACAAAUCGGGAGGAGGAAAAGAGAGAAAGAGAGAGAGAGAGAGAGAGAGAAAGGGAAUGAAAGAAAAGGAGGGAGGG